CCUACGGGAGGCAGCAGUGGGGAAUAUUGCACAAUGGGGGAAACCCUGAUGCAGCGACGCCGCGUGAGCGAUGACGUAUUUCGGUAUGUAAAGCUCUAUCAGCAGGGAAGAAAAUGACGGUACCUGACUAAGAAGCCCCGGCUAACUACGUGCCAGCAGCCGCGGUACUACGUAGGGGGCAAGCGUUAUCCGGAUUUACUGGGUGUAAUGGGAGUGUAGACGGCUGUGCAAGCCAGGUGUGAAAGCCCGGGGCUCAACCCCGGGACUGCAUUUGGAACUGGGUGGCUGGAGUGUCGGAGAGGCAGGCGGAAUGCGUAGUGUAGCGGUGAAAUGCGUAGAUAUUAGGAGGAACACCAGUGGCGAAGGCGGCCUGCUGGACGAUGACUGACGUUGAGGCUCGAAAGCGUGGGGAGCAAACAGGAUUAGAUACCCGAGUAGUC
Molecule: ribosomal RNA, 440 nt
Filed under: uncultured bacterium
Lineage: Bacteria
Description: partial 16S ribosomal RNA
Rfam family: Bacterial small subunit ribosomal RNA
Source: RNAcentral